UACGUAGGGUGCGAGCGUUGUCCGGAAUUAUUGGGCGUAAAGGGCGCGUAGGCGGCUUUGCAAGUGACGGGUGAAAGCCCUCGGCUUAACCGAGGAACUGCCUGUCAGACUGUAAGGCUUGAGACCGGGAGAGGUGAGUGGAAUUCCCAGUGUAGCGGUGAAAUGCGUAGAUAUUGGGAGGAACACCAGUGGCGAAGGCGGCUCACUGGACCGGAACUGACGCUGAGGCGCGAAAGCGUGGGGAGCAAACAGG
RNAcentral lists this ribosomal RNA (253 nucleotides) under uncultured bacterium. RNAcentral's name for it is "partial 16S ribosomal RNA". It matches the Rfam family "Bacterial small subunit ribosomal RNA", at positions 524 to 776 of the family's 1533-position model. The record is from RNAcentral.